This is a long non-coding RNA of Triplophysa dalaica, 1903 nucleotides long. RefSeq lists it as uncharacterized. The transcript has 10 exons. NCBI's taxonomy places the organism in Eukaryota, Metazoa, Chordata, Actinopteri, Cypriniformes, Nemacheilidae. The record is from RefSeq and is a predicted model, not a curated record.
GAAUCAUUGAGGCACAUGCACAUUUAUCUGUGCUCUAUGGUGGAACGGUAUGCUGUGCUCUAUGGUGAUAUUUUAGAAUCUUUGAGGCACAUGCACAUUUAUCUGUGCUCUCUGGUGGAACGGUAUGCUGUGCUCUCUGGUGGAACGGUAUGCUGUGCUCUAUGGUGGAACGGUAUGCUGUGCUCUAUGGUGGAACGGUAUGCUGUGCUCUAUGGUGGAACGGGACGCUGUGCCCUGCGGUGGAACGGAACGGGACGCUGUGCCCUGACUGAUUCAAGUCCUGCAGUUUUUAAGACUCGCUGACCGGUGGUGCUUGGUCUUUUGGUGCAGGGGUGGAUUCGUACACAGGGUUAGUGAUGUUCGGGCUUGGUUCUGAUGGGUUAGCUUCAACUCCUUCAUCCUCCUAGAAAGAAAUUGUAUCCCACAAAUCCGCCCGCUGCGAAUAGGAUGAUGAGGACCAGUGCACCAAUGACCACUCCUGCCUUAUGAGCCGGGUGGAGGGUUGGAGGGGGAAGCGGAGGAGCUUUCAACGGGCCCUGCAGGACAUGGAUGACCCCAUUGGAUGCAAAGAUGUCAUAGUCGAUGACGUACUGAUCGUCGAUGUAUCCCGAGGAGGUCUAAAGCAGAGAGUCCAGUCAUCGUGCAGGUGGCAUGCUCGUGACACCCCCCGUUGUCAUCAGCUACGCAAGGGUCGAUCGGUGUGCACACAAACCCAUCGCCGGAGUAACUUUUGAGACAAGCGCAGCUCACUUUCUCCUCCUUCUGAGUGCACUUAGCAUCCUUCGAACAACCACCAUUCCAGUACUUGCACAUGUCGGCCGCUGCAGAAAAGAGAGGUGAUACCAUCUCCUUCAUAGAAGGGUUUACAGACGCAGGUAUUGUUCUCCAUACAGACAGCUUUCUUAUGGCAAGCGGGACUGCAAACAGGAACAUCAGCUGAAACAGAGUACCUGGAUGUUGUUGCUUUGAAAAGCUCACCUGUGCAGUCUGGUCCAAAAUGUCCGUCCACACACAGCUCGCAUGCUACACCUGUAAAUCCAGCAUCACAGGUGCAGGUGCCAUUUCCUAAAUGAUCCUCAUCACACUUACCAUGGCUACUGCAGGGGGAGCCUGGACCUCCAGGACAUGCUGGAGAACAGGCCACAGACAGAUCUGAGCCCUGUUGAGUUCUUAAAGAACUGCUGCGCAUGAGGUCACUCGGCAGAAUCUAGAAGACACGUACAGGAAGUCCUUCUGCUCCUGGGCUAGAGCGGCCAUAGCGGCAUCUGUGGGCAGGAACAAGGUGACGGGCUGGUAGAUUUUGUCCGUCACUAACUUCAACACAUCUGUGUCCUUUAAACAAACAAUUCAACAUUGAGGUCAUAAGAUGUUCAUCUGAACGCCUGCUUCGAGACAGAAUAAUCAGAAGAAGGGAAGGGAUCCUCUACAAAUCUCUCCAUCUCCGAUAUAGCCAGACCCACAGGUACAGUUUCUCUUUGAGGGUCCUGUCAUGGUACAGCGGGCAUUCCAGUGGCAUCCGCCAUUUAACUGCAUGAACACAAGAGAUGAGAUGCAAAAGCCAGAAAGUGGUUCGGUUUGGAAGGAGAUGAAGGGGAGUGAAAUAUGACAGAAUAGUUCAUUUUUGGUGAACUAUGUAUUAAAACAAAGACAUAACAACAUAAUCAAUAAAACCAAAGAUUAUUCAGACACCUUCAACAUUUCUUACAUUAUCACAGUGUAUUGGAUAUAGUUUAGAAAAUGGUACUAAAAUCUGACAAGAGUCUAAAUUUGUAAUUUGUAAUAAUUUGGUCCCAAAUAUGUCAGCUUACUUUAUUUACAAUAGCGUCCUGCACCCACUUGUAAAAAAUAUCAAUCUGGUGUCUGAAUCAUUUUUGGUUUGACUGUAUUUUAAGGUGACGCAUUA